RNAcentral lists this transfer RNA (71 nucleotides) under Philagra albinotata. Its description in RNAcentral is "tRNA-Val". The record is from RNAcentral. Lineage: Eukaryota; Metazoa; Arthropoda; Insecta; Hemiptera; Aphrophoridae.
CAAAUUAAAGCUUAAAAGAAAGCAUAUUAUUUACACUAAUAAAUAUAAUUGUGCAAUUCAAUUUAAUUUGA